UCGUGGGGCAUCACAGUGUAGCAAUACAUGGGUGGCGACCGGCAAACGGGUGCGUAACACGUACGCAACUUACCCAUUACAGAGGGAUAGCCCAGGGAAACUUGGAUUAAUACUUCAUAUUAUAUAGGACUGGCAUCAGUUUUAUAUCAAAGCUACGGCGGUAAUGGAUGGGCGUGCGGUUGAUUAGAUAGUUGGCGGGGUAACGGCCCACCAAGUCUACGAUCAAUAGCUGAUGUGAGAGCAUGAUCAGCCACACGGGCACUGAGACACGGGCCCGACUCCUACGGGAGGCAGCAGUAAGGAAUAUUGGGCAAUGGACGCAAGUCUGACCCAGCCAUGCCGCGUGAAGGAUGAAGGUCCUCUGGAUUGUAAACUUCUUUUAUCUGGGGCGAAAACAACUCUUUCUAGAGUUCUUGACAGUACCAGAGGAAUAAGCACCGGCUAACUCCGUGCCAGCAGCCGCGGUAAUACGGAGGGUGCAAGCGUUAUCCGGAUUCACUGGGUUUAAAGGGUGCGUAGGCGGGCAGGUAAGUCAGUGGUGAAAUCCCCGAGCUUAACUCGGGAACUGCCGUUGAUACUAUCUGUCUUGAAUACUGUGGAGGUAAGCGGAAUAUGUCAUGUAGCGGUGAAAUGCUUAUAUAUGACAUAGAACACCAAUUGCGAAGGCAGCUUGCUACACCGUCAUUGACGCUGAGGCACGAAAGCGUGGGGAUC
Molecule: ribosomal RNA, 714 nt
Filed under: uncultured Bacteroidota bacterium
Lineage: Bacteria; Pseudomonadati; Bacteroidota
Description: bacterial SSU rRNA
Rfam family: Bacterial small subunit ribosomal RNA
Source: RNAcentral